GCAGGUGGCAGUGCCUGGAUGCUGACCUCAUUUGAAUUCAGAAGCUAAGUAACAUAAUGUCUGGUUAGAACUUGGAUGGGAAAUCUCCAGGGAAUCCCAAAGCUGCAGGCU
RNAcentral lists this ribosomal RNA (111 nucleotides) under Notechis scutatus (mainland tiger snake). The record is from RNAcentral. Lineage: Eukaryota; Metazoa; Chordata; Lepidosauria; Squamata; Elapidae.